AUGUCUAUGAAACGCAGAUGACCAAUAACCAUUUACCAUAUACCUAUAGGUGCGUUGUUGUGAUUCCUUUAUAAGAUCUAACUCUUUAUUUGUCGUUUGGAGUAUACUGAUGUGUAUCCCUGAAGCGGAAAAGGGAAAUCCCUUCAGUUUCGAUGACGUGUACUCAGAGUUCCGCUUCUGAACAAAGGGAGAUUUCUUCAGUUUCGGUGACGUGUAGUUAAGAUCUAGACUUAGGACCUUCGCCCGCUGUUUCACAGUAUACCGAGCAUUUCGCCUAGCAGAACAGUUGACGCCACGCACGCUUAACAAACUAUCAUCGGAGAGCGAUCAAAAUAUGGCUGUGUAUGGAAGACCGAGAAUGGACGACACCGAGUACCUCGCCGAAUUGGUUUUGAGCGUCAUCGUAUCUUUGGUCGUAUGCGCUGUGACCCGGAAUUUGGAUACUUACCAGGCUUAUUCUUUCACCAUGGUGGUGACUGUCGCGGUCUACAUACUUCUUCAGACAUCACCACACAUGUCCGGGCCUUGAAGUUGGUGAAAGGAGCUGUCCUGACGACGUGACUAGCCUUCUGGCUGUGGAAACAACUUCAGACUGGUGUUAUCUGUGGUUUGUGGACUGUUACGUUUAAAGAAAGGACAGUAAGAUAUGCCAAAGGUACCGGUGAAACCUUACCGAAGGUCAGGAAGGGGACGUGAAGCAAUAUGCCAAAGAAUGUGCUGACUUUAAAACUAGUUAUGUAAACAAUAUUGUUUAAUUCAACAUGUUGAUAUAUCCAUA
This is a long non-coding RNA of Branchiostoma floridae (Florida lancelet), 778 nucleotides long. RefSeq lists it as uncharacterized. The record is from RefSeq and is a predicted model, not a curated record. The transcript is spliced from 2 exons. NCBI's taxonomy places the organism in Eukaryota, Metazoa, Chordata, Leptocardii, Amphioxiformes, Branchiostomatidae.